This 494-nucleotide ribosomal RNA is filed under the name uncultured bacterium. RNAcentral describes it as "partial 16S ribosomal RNA". It matches the Rfam family "Bacterial small subunit ribosomal RNA", at positions 28 to 506 of the family's 1533-position model. The record is from RNAcentral.
GAUGAACGCUGGCGGCGUGCCUAAUACAUGCAAGUCGAACGCUGAAGGAGGAGCUUGCUCUUCUGGAUGAGUUGCGAACGGGUGAGUAACGCGUAGGUAACCUGCCUGGUAGCGGGGGAUAACUAUUGGAAACGAUAGCUAAUACCGCAUGACAACAGUUAUUGCAUGAUAACUGUUUAAAAGGGGCAACUGCUCCACUACCAGAUGGACCUGCGUUGUAUUAGCUAGUUGGUGAGGUAACGGCUCACCAAGGCGACGAUACAUAGCCGACCUGAGAGGGUGAUCGGCCACACUGGGACUGAGACACGGCCCAGACUCCUACGGGAGGCAGCAGUAGGGAAUCUUCGGCAAUGGACGGAAGUCUGACCGAGCAACGCCGCGUGAGUGAAGAAGGUUUUCGGAUCGUAAAGCUCUGUUGUAAGAGAAGAACGAGUGUGAGAGUGGAAAGUUCACACUGUGACGGUAUCUUACCAGAAAGGGACGGCUAACUACGU